Molecule: unclassified non-coding RNA, 268 nt
Filed under: uncultured fungus
Lineage: Eukaryota; Fungi
Description: sequence contains ITS1, 5.8S rRNA gene
Rfam family: 5.8S ribosomal RNA (bases 220-268)
Source: RNAcentral
UUUCCGUAGGUGAACCUGCGGAAGGAUCAUUAGUGAAUUUUAGGGUGCUCUCUUUUAACAAGAGAGGCCUGACCUCCACUCUCCAACACUGUGCACUUUAUGGCGAAGGAAAUUGAGUUUCUAGAGGUUUCGUUAGAGCCUCUUAUUACUCUUGCAUUUCCUUUGCGGCUUCAUUUUUUAACACUAGUCAAAGAAUGUAAAUAAAUCAUAACCAAAAAAAACUUUCAACAACGGAUCUCUUGGCUCUCGCAUCGAUGAAGAACGCAGC